UCUCUAUUUAGCUGCCUCGUCCGAUUACUCAAACCAUAAUUUUCUUCACAGUAAACUGCGAAUGGCUCAUUAAAACAGUUAUAGUUUAUUUGAUACAUUAAAUGGAUAACUGUAGAAAAACUAGAGCUAAUACAUGCCGAGACCACAAGGUUGUAUUUAUUAGAUAUUGUAAUUAAGAUGAAUCAUAAUAACUUCACAAUUCUUCGAUAUCAUCGAGAUAAAUCAUCCAAGUUACUGCCCUAUCAGCUUUCGAUGGUAGUGUAUUGGACUACCUCGGCAUCUACAUGGUUAACAGGGAAUUAGGGUUCGUUUUUGUAGAAGGAGCCUGAGAAACGGCUCCUACAUCUAUUGAUCGCAGCAGGCGCGUAAAUUACCCAAUCCUGACUCAGGGAGGUGGUGACAAGAUAUAACGACCCGAUUAAUGUCGUGAUUGUAGUGAGGAUAUUCCAAACAGAAUCACAAGAACGAUUAGAGGGCAAGUCUGGUGCCAGCAGCCGCGGUAAUUCCAGCUCUAUAGCGUAUAUAAAGUUGCUGCAGUUAAAAGCUCGUAGUGGAUUCAGGAUACUCAUUCUAUGGAUGUGUACCUACUAGCAGUAUGCUGUACUGUGAGAAUAGAGUGUAGCAGCCAUGCAGAUCUAGCAUGAUACGAUGAUCUGAUCUGGUAUUUGAUCGAUAAGACGUGGGCUAGUUAUGCAGGAUUGGUGACCUGGAGUGGAGUUCUCAAAUGGACCCAGCUCAUCUAGGGGGGACUACUCUCUCUU
This 761-nucleotide ribosomal RNA is filed under the name uncultured rumen protozoa. Its description in RNAcentral is "bacterial SSU rRNA". It matches the Rfam family "Eukaryotic small subunit ribosomal RNA", at positions 68 to 757 of the family's 1831-position model. The record is from RNAcentral.